This 229-nucleotide ribosomal RNA is filed under the name uncultured bacterium. Its description in RNAcentral is "partial 16S ribosomal RNA". It matches the Rfam family "Bacterial small subunit ribosomal RNA", at positions 524 to 752 of the family's 1533-position model. The record is from RNAcentral.
UACGUAGGGUGCGAGCGUUGUCCGGAAUUACUGGGCGUAAAGCGUGCGUAGGCGGUUUGUUAAGUCUGCUGUGAAAUCCCCGGGCUCAACCUGGGAAUGGCAGUGGAUACUGGCAAGCUAGAGUGUGUCAGAGGAUGGUGGAAUUCCCGGUGUAGCGGUGAAAUGCGUAGAUAUCGAGAGGAACACCGGUGGCGAAGGCGGCCUUCUGGACAGUGACUGACGCUGGAGA